This 751-nucleotide long non-coding RNA is filed under the name Rattus norvegicus (Norway rat). RNAcentral describes it as "long non-coding RNA NONRATT030412". The record is from RNAcentral. Lineage: Eukaryota; Metazoa; Chordata; Mammalia; Rodentia; Muridae.
UCUUUCCUCCCGUGAAUAUAUCAUUUUCUCUUUAGCUCUCUAUGUAUCAUCUUCCUAAAUGAUAUCUAUCAUUUCCUUAUCUGUACUUCCAUACAUCUCUUGACCAUUACAGGUCAUUUUAAAAUAGCAUGAUGAAUGAUCACCAAUAGAAUUAUUUGAGGAAAUUUCACCUAUUGGACCCUGGUCUGUUUCUGUUCUUCCUCCAUCAUUGUCCCACGAUAUAUAUGAAGAACUCUCCAGUCUCCAUAGAUUCUGAACAUUUUAUUAUGUUGCAACAACUCACUACACUGUUUGCUCCCUGAAAGCAUACUCUAGAAUUUAAUGGACUGUCCACUACCACUGACAAUUGCCUAGGAAAACAUAGGAGCAGCUAUCUGAUGAAAUAACAAGGAGCUUACAUAUAAAGAAUUCAAGAAUGACUUUCCAUGAUGAGAAGAAGGAAAUGGAAAUUGCUUCUAAAACACAGAUUUUAUAAUGUGGGUUAUCUACUCUUUUGAUAAAUAAAUGGAAACAUAGAAAUAAUUUUAGAAAGUAGCAAUGCAGUAUAAAAAUUUAUUAAUUGUUAUGUUAUAUAAACUAGAGACUUUCAUGAAGAAUUUAAGUGUUUUACAUUGUGACUUAACAAAUAAAAAAGGAGAAAAGGAGUACAAGUAAUGCAAAGAUCAAUGCUUGUAUAUAAUUAAUUGUUUAGUGAGUUUUUGUCACCUUGUGCUGAAUUUAAUGAAAAUAAAGCAAAUGACUUAUAAUUUUU